GCUCGGCUGGCUCAGUCGUGGAGCAUGUGACUCUUGAUCUCAGGUUGUGAGUUUAAGUCCCACAUUGGGUA
RNAcentral lists this transfer RNA (71 nucleotides) under Mustela putorius furo (domestic ferret). It matches the Rfam family "tRNA". Rfam says of the family: Transfer RNA (tRNA) molecules are approximately 80 nucleotides in length. Their secondary structure includes four short double-helical elements and three loops (D, anti-codon, and T loops). Further hydrogen bonds mediate the characteristic L-shaped molecular structure. tRNAs have two regions of fundamental functional importance: the anti-codon, which is responsible for specific mRNA codon recognition, and the 3' end, to which the tRNAs corresponding amino acid is attached (by aminoacyl-tRNA synthetases). tRNAs cope with the degeneracy of the genetic code in two manners: having more than one tRNA (with a specific anti-codon) for a particular amino acid; and 'wobble' base-pairing, i.e. permitting non-standard base-pairing at the 3rd anti-codon position. Lineage: Eukaryota; Metazoa; Chordata; Mammalia; Carnivora; Mustelidae. The record is from Rfam by way of RNAcentral.